Molecule: transfer RNA, 97 nt
Filed under: Cupriavidus sp. TKC
Lineage: Bacteria; Pseudomonadati; Pseudomonadota; Betaproteobacteria; Burkholderiales; Burkholderiaceae
Description: tRNA-Gly
Source: RNAcentral
AGGUCAUCGGUGACGCCGGCACAUGGAUGGGUAUUGCCGGUGCCCAGCACGGGCAGGACACCCCGGUCGGCGCAAGGUUCGCCGCCCUGACAAACUA